This 253-nucleotide ribosomal RNA is filed under the name uncultured bacterium. RNAcentral describes it as "partial 16S ribosomal RNA". It matches the Rfam family "Bacterial small subunit ribosomal RNA", at positions 524 to 776 of the family's 1533-position model. The record is from RNAcentral.
GACGUAGGGCGCAAGCGUUGUCCGGAUUUAUUGGGCGUAAAGAGCUCGUAGGCGGCCUGUCGCGUCGACUGUGAAAACUCACGGCUCAACCGUGGGACUGCAGUCGAUACGGGCAGGCUAGAGUUCGGUAGGGGAGACUGGAAUUCCUGGUGUAGCGGUGAAAUGCGCAGAUAUCAGGAGGAACACCGGUGGCGAAGGCGGGUCUCUGGGCCGAUACUGACGCUGAGGAGCGAAAGCGUGGGGAGCGAACAGG